ACCAUUUUUUACGCGAUGAAUCAUUCAUAAACAUUUUGCAAUAACUGUUCUUAUCGGUGUAAUACAAGAUACGUCCCCCGUAAGGGGACUUCAAUAUUACACUGAUUUAGAGAACAUGACUGAGGGUUAGGGACUUGUUCCACCUCUACCAAAAGGUCGGCCUGGUGACGUAGUUUCUCCAGGACUGGCCAACUCCCC
Pomacea canaliculata is the source of this 198-nucleotide small nuclear RNA. RefSeq annotates it as U2 spliceosomal RNA. The transcript has a single exon. NCBI's taxonomy places the organism in Eukaryota, Metazoa, Mollusca, Gastropoda, Architaenioglossa, Ampullariidae. The record is from RefSeq and is a predicted model, not a curated record.